This 557-nucleotide long non-coding RNA is filed under the name Pectinophora gossypiella (pink bollworm). Its description in RNAcentral is "uncharacterized LOC126380540". Lineage: Eukaryota; Metazoa; Arthropoda; Insecta; Lepidoptera; Gelechiidae. The record is from RNAcentral.
UUUAACCUUUGAUCUGUGUGUGAUAAGGAUCCUGACUACCCCUCUCGUAUGUGUGUGAUUAGGAUCCUGACCCAUAGGACUGGUACCUAUUUUUACGUAAUUAUCCACUCUAAUUCUAUCGCAAAAGGUAUAAUGUUGUGUUUUGAACAAAAUUGAAUAAAUGAUCUAUCAUAGACAAUCAUCAUUCGGAUGAAAUGUUCAAUAGUUCCGCUAGAAAAAUCGGUUGAAAUUCCGUCUCGACCAGUGAUACUUCAACUACCAAAAGUGAAUACUAAAAGUGAAAAAUAAGCUGAAAAUUGUUAAAAAAGAUAAAAUGGAUUUAACAAAUCCUUCAGCUCCGUCAACUUCACGACCUCUUAUCUUUCCAGGCGACGCCACAAGGAUCACUGCACCCUUAUUAGUGAUAAUACGGCUCUUAUAAGAAUAAUAUUUUGGUCAUAUAAACCAUAAUAAGAACAGUUGUUUUUGAUUGUAUAUGAAUAAAUGAUUUAACAUGUAGAUAUCUAUCUCUCAAUCUAACUAAAGUGAUAUCUAAAUAAUAAAAAAAAUACCUAUUA